RNAcentral lists this ribosomal RNA (250 nucleotides) under uncultured prokaryote. RNAcentral's name for it is "partial 16S ribosomal RNA". It matches the Rfam family "Bacterial small subunit ribosomal RNA", at positions 524 to 773 of the family's 1533-position model. The record is from RNAcentral.
UACGUAGGUGGCAAGCGUUAUCCGGAAUUAUUGGGUGUAAAGGGUGUGUAGGCGGGACUUUAAGUCAGACGUGAAAAUCAAGGGCUCAACCCUUGACCUGCGUUUGAAACUGGAGUUCUUGAGAGUGGGAGAGGUAAACGGAAUUCCUGGUGUAGCGGUGAAAUGCGUAGAUAUCAGGAGGAACACCGGUGGCGAAGGCGGUUUACUGGACCACAACUGACGCUGAGACACGAAAGCGUGGGGAGCAAAC